RNAcentral lists this ribosomal RNA (462 nucleotides) under uncultured bacterium. Its description in RNAcentral is "bacterial SSU rRNA". It matches the Rfam family "Bacterial small subunit ribosomal RNA", at positions 328 to 802 of the family's 1533-position model. The record is from RNAcentral.
AUGAAACACUCCUACGGGAGGCAGCAGUGGGGAAUAUUGGACAAUGGACCAAGAGUCUGAUCCAGCAAUUCUGUGUGCACGAUGAAGUUUUUCGGAUUGUAAAGUGCUUUCAGCAGGGAAGAAGAAAAUGACUGUACCUGCAGAAGAAGCGACGGCUAAAUACGUGCCAGCAGCCGCGGUAAUACGUAUGUCGCAAGCGUUAUCCGGAAUUAUCGGGCAUAAAGGGCAUCUAGGCGGCCAGAUAAGUCUGGGGUGAAAACUUGCGGCUCAACCGCAAGCCUGCCCUGGAAACUAUAUGGCUAGAGUACUGGAGAGGUGGACGGAACUGCACGAGUAGAGGUGAAAUUCGUAGAUAUGUGCAGGAAUGCCGAUGAUGAAGAUAGUUCACUGGACGGUAACUGACGCUGAAGUGCGAAAGCUAGGGGAGCAAACAGGAUUAGAUACCCUAGUAGUCCGAAGUUC